GUGGGCUAUGGAGACAUGUACCCCAUGACGGUAGGAGGCAAGAUUGUGGGGUCGUUGUGCGCCAUUGCGGGCGUCCUCACCAUCGCCCUGCCGGUGCCCGUCAUCGUGUCCAAC
Erinaceus europaeus (western European hedgehog) is the source of this 114-nucleotide non-coding RNA. The record is from Rfam. NCBI's taxonomy places the organism in Eukaryota, Metazoa, Chordata, Mammalia, Eulipotyphla, Erinaceidae.